Long non-coding RNA from Oreochromis niloticus (Nile tilapia), 351 nucleotides. RefSeq lists it as uncharacterized. The transcript has 3 exons. The record is from RefSeq and is a predicted model, not a curated record. Lineage: Eukaryota; Metazoa; Chordata; Actinopteri; Cichliformes; Cichlidae.
GUUUCUACCCUGAGUGAGCCACGAUCUUCAGGAGGAAAGACGGAAGGACAUCCAUGAAUGUGUAUAAAGGAGAGAUUUUCUAUAACCAUAAUGUGACCUUCCAGACAGAUUACAGUACCCCAUGCAUGAAUACUCUGUUGGUUGGUCUGCUUCUUCUCAUCUUCAUAGCUGCCACUGAAUUUGCUGUUCACAAAAAAGAAGAAAAGUGAGAGAUUUAAAGGAGUUCUUCCCUCAUUUUCUGUCCUCCAGAAGACUCCCUCCUCUCCAGUCAGCUGCCACGCUACAGGUUUCUAUCCUCAAAGAGCCGUGAUGUUCUGGAGCAAGGAUGGAGAGGAGCUUCAGUGCUCUGCU